Molecule: transfer RNA, 95 nt
Filed under: Mycobacterium shinjukuense
Lineage: Bacteria; Bacillati; Actinomycetota; Actinomycetes; Mycobacteriales; Mycobacteriaceae
Description: tRNA-Arg
Source: RNAcentral
GUGGGUCUGGUCGAUGUGGUGCACGGUGACCGGUCGCGGUCCGGCCAGUGACCCCACGACGAACUCGUCACGCCGUUCCAAGCCGCUGGCGCGCA